This 379-nucleotide ribosomal RNA is filed under the name uncultured organism. RNAcentral describes it as "partial 16S ribosomal RNA". It matches the Rfam family "Bacterial small subunit ribosomal RNA", at positions 526 to 896 of the family's 1533-position model. The record is from RNAcentral.
GGAGGGGAGCUAGCGUUGUUCGGAAUUACUGGGCGUAAAGGGCGCGUAGGCGGGCCGAGUAAGUCGCGUGUGAAAAGGGCCGGGGGCUCAACCCCGAGCACUGCACGUGAUACUGCCCCCGGCUAGAGAAAGGUAGAGGCGAGCGGAAUUCCCGGUGUAGCGGUGGAAUGCGUAGAUAUCGGGAAGAACACCUGUGGCGAAGGCGGCUCGCUGGGCCUUGUCUGACGCUGAAGCGCGAAAGCGUGGGGAGCAAACAGGAUUAGAUACCCUGGUAGUCCACGCCGUAAACGAUGGGUACUAGGUGUUGGGAGGCUUGGCCCUCUCAGUGUCGUCGCUAACGCAUUAAGUACCCCGCCUGGGGAGUACGGUCGCAAGGCUG